This 67-nucleotide transfer RNA is filed under the name Ipomoea nil (Japanese morning glory). It matches the Rfam family "tRNA". From Rfam's summary of the family: Transfer RNA (tRNA) molecules are approximately 80 nucleotides in length. Their secondary structure includes four short double-helical elements and three loops (D, anti-codon, and T loops). The record is from Rfam by way of RNAcentral. Lineage: Eukaryota; Viridiplantae; Streptophyta; Magnoliopsida; Solanales; Convolvulaceae.
GCUCGUUUAGCUCAGUCCCGCAAGGCUCUUAACCUUGUGGUCCUGGGUUCAAGUCCCAGGGUGGGCG